UUAAGGCACUUCGUAUAUAUGUUAACGUCUCUUCAGCGAACUUAUAAGCAACUUCCAUCAUGCAAAUAAAAUUCUGAAGCAAGAAACCAUUUCACAUAUUCAUAAACACCUCCAACAACCACCCAGCCUUCCACCUAUGUUGAACCAUCAUAACCACCACCCCUGUUAAGAGUAUCAGACCAUUACCGAACCACCCAAAGCACACCCGAACUAGCUUUUCUACUUUCUGUUGCCUUUGUUCGAUCCAUUAGAAGCACCAAAACCCGACAUCACCGUCACCUUCAUUAUUCCGGCCAAACCUAAACGAACUCAAACACUAAAUAAUACCAUUGUUACAUGUCUUCAUCUUGUUAGUAACCUUUGAACCACCGCACUUGACCUCACAACACGAACCGAUAUUUUCCGGCAAUCCCAUAGAGUAGACGUCUCAACCCAAGGAGUAGCUACCUAUGUAUUGUCACGUUUUAAGUUUGGCUCAUGGGUUCGCAGGUUACUUCGGGCGGGGUAAAGAGAGAAGAAUAAAGCCUAGGACUAAAUCUGAAGAUGUUAGUUAAUCAAGUCGAAUGUGUCCGCUUGUAUAUUAACAUCAAGUUUAGUUGUCGUGUGGUUGUAUCCUUGUCGAAUAAAUAAAUGGAAUUAUGACUUUUGU
Molecule: long non-coding RNA, 649 nt
Filed under: Helianthus annuus (common sunflower)
Lineage: Eukaryota; Viridiplantae; Streptophyta; Magnoliopsida; Asterales; Asteraceae
Description: hypothetical non coding rna
Source: RNAcentral